RNAcentral lists this ribosomal RNA (478 nucleotides) under uncultured bacterium. Its description in RNAcentral is "partial 16S ribosomal RNA". It matches the Rfam family "Bacterial small subunit ribosomal RNA", at positions 28 to 523 of the family's 1533-position model. The record is from RNAcentral.
GACGAACGCUGGCGGCGUGCUUAACACAUGCAAGUCGAACGAUGAACCACUUCGGUGGGGAUUAGUGGCGAACGGGUGAGUAACACGUGGGCAAUCUGCCCUUCACUCUGGGACAAGCCCUGGAAACGGGGUCUAAUACCGGAUAGCACUCCCUGCGGCAUCUUGGGGGGUUGAAAGCUCCGGCGGUGAAGGAUGAGCCCGCGGCCUAUCAGCUUGUUGGUGAGGUAGUGGCUCACCAAGGCGACGACGGGUAGCCGGCCUGAGAGGGCGACCGGCCACACUGGGACUGAGACACGGCCCAGACUCCUACGGGAGGCAGCAGUGGGGAAUAUUGCACAAUGGGCGCAAGCCUGACGCAGCGACGCCGCGUGAGGGAUGACGGCCUUCGGGUUGUAAACCUCUUUCAGCAGGGAAGAAGCGCAAGUGACGGUACCUGCAGAAGAAGCGCCGGCUAACUACGUGCCAGCAGCCGCCGUAA